UGUCUGCAUAAUAUAAAUAGAUGUAGUGCUUGAAUAGCAAUACUGUAUUCAUCUUAUUUGAAUGAUCCUUGUUCUUUUGUAAAUACUGACAAAGAUACAACACAGUUACUUCUCUUGUCGAUUAUUUCACUUAUUUUUUUUUAUUUUUUUUAUUAUUUUAGAGUGCUUGAAAUACGCGAUAGUUAUAUACACCUAGAAAAAGACGCCGAUAAACUUGAUUACAAACGUUGGCUGGAAAAGUCAAAUUAUCAGCCAACGACUUCAUACAUAUUCGCACUUACAUUGACGUCAGCAUGCUAUGGGGUAGGGUUGGGAUUUAUUUGUGGCACACAAAAGCGAUUUGUCUCCGAAUCCAUCACGGUCACACAUAUGGAUUUUUAUUUCUAGAAAACAAUAGAAAAAGGUUAAUGAAGAAACCUGAAAAAAAUACAUUUUUCAGAAAUGCAUGCUUUCCGCAAUACCGAGUUUUAAAACAGCUGUUUGGCACCAUAUUUGUGACUUUAAACUUGACUUGACUAAUUAGCUCAUUCAAAUGUGCAGUU
RNAcentral lists this long non-coding RNA (542 nucleotides) under Mytilus galloprovincialis (Mediterranean mussel). The record is from RNAcentral. Lineage: Eukaryota; Metazoa; Mollusca; Bivalvia; Mytilida; Mytilidae.